Molecule: ribosomal RNA, 502 nt
Filed under: uncultured bacterium
Lineage: Bacteria
Description: bacterial SSU rRNA
Rfam family: Bacterial small subunit ribosomal RNA
Source: RNAcentral
AGAGUUCGAUUAUGGCUCAGGACGAACGCUGGCGGUGCGCCUUAUGCAUGCAAGUUGAGCGAAGCUUUUUGGUAGUUUACUACUAGAAAUGACUGAGCGGCGAACGGGUGAGUAACGCGUGAGCAAUCUACCUUAGUUACUGGGAUAGCCCGAGGAAACUCGGAUUAAUACCGGAUAUUCUUAUUUUUUCACAUGAAGUUUUAAGGAAAGGUCAGCCGAACUAAGAUGAGCUCGCGUUCUAUCAGCUAGUUGGUGGGGUAAAAGCCUACCAAGGCUACGACGGAUAGCUGGUCUGAGAGGACGAUCAGCCACACUGGGACUGAGACACGGCCCAGACUCCUACGGGAGGCUGCAGCAGGGAAUAUUGUGCAAUGAGCGAAAGCUUGACACAGCGACACCGCGUGUGGGAUGACGGUUCUAGGAUUGUAAACCACUUUCAGGAGGGAAGAAAAUGACGGUACCUUCACAAGAAGACCCGGCCAACUAUGUGCCAGCAGCCGCG